Molecule: ribosomal RNA, 253 nt
Filed under: uncultured bacterium
Lineage: Bacteria
Description: partial 16S ribosomal RNA
Rfam family: Bacterial small subunit ribosomal RNA
Source: RNAcentral
UACGGAGGGGGCGAGCGUUGUCCGAAGUUACUGGGCGUAAAGGGCGCGUAGGCGGGGUGUCACGUCCGCUGUGAAAGCCUGGAGCUUAACUCCAGCGGGUCGGUGGAUACGGACACUCUUGAAGGCAUUAGGGGAAGAUGGAAUUACCCAUGGAGCGGUGAAAUGCGUAGAGAUGUGGAGGAACACCGAUGGCGAAGGCAGCCCCCUGGGUCAAAACUGACGCUCAUGCACGAAAGCGUGGGGAGCAAACAGG